This is a long non-coding RNA of Neofelis nebulosa (Clouded leopard), 1407 nucleotides long. RefSeq lists it as uncharacterized. The record is from RefSeq and is a predicted model, not a curated record. The transcript has 3 exons. NCBI's taxonomy places the organism in Eukaryota, Metazoa, Chordata, Mammalia, Carnivora, Felidae.
GCACCGAUGCCAGGUCUGGGGGUCUCUGACGUGACUCGGUACCGGGUCUCCAACCUGAGGGCGAGCUGCAGGAAGGUCUGAAGGCUGACCUUGACCCGGCACCCCCCAGGGGGUGGGACUGCAGAGCCGGCCACUAAUGCCAGGCGUGGCCUCUGUGUGAGCACCGCACCUGUCUUCCAGGAGCAGAUGCCAACAGGGACUCUGUCUCUCCCACCGUGAAAAGGCAGCCUGACUUUAAAUGUCCCUGCUGCCAGCAUCCCAGAAGACAGGAGGUGGGGUAACACGCCAUCACGGACUCCACUGACUGAGUGUCUGAGUCCAGCGCGCUCGGGAGGCAAGAAGCUCCCUCACCUCCGACACGCAGACCAUGAUGAAGACGACGUGGCUCCUUGUCACUUCUAUGUCUGCACAACCUGACCGAAGGGACUCGUUACCAAACUCUGCCUUAUAGUGGAGCCACUGAAUUGCUGAGCUGGCAGGCAUCCUGGGAAUCGCCGUCUGAUGCUUUCAGUUGCAGGUAGAGAAGGACACCUGAGUGCCUGAGACACAAAGUGACCGGUCAAGGCCACACGGCUGGUUAAUGUCAGGAAGCGUCAGCGACAAAACGUCCCCAUCCCCGUGCUUCUCAAAUGCUUGCUCUCUGGGAUUGUUUCCAGAGAUGCUCAAAUAUUCUACUGACUCCUAAGAAAUCCACGUAUAUUUGGAGUGUACAUCUCAAAGAAAUGGGGGUAUUUGAGGUAAUGUUCAUAGUGCGCUAAACCCCAGAAAGGUUCCCAGAAACAAGCGUUUCCUGCGGAAAAGCACUUCCUCUGCCUGAAGAAGGCUAGGGCACCUAAUGUGACACCAGGCAAGAAGCCACCCAACACUGGGGCCAUGCCGGAGAGCCCGCUGUGCAUGAGCCAUUGGCUGCUUCAGAGACGAGAGACCAGAGACCACAGCUCGCUUCUUUAGGUCGGCCACAUAGACCCUCUGCCUCCACAUUCUCUUUCCUCGGUUUUCCAUUCAAUAAAUACAGCCUGGAGGGAGACGGUGUCGUGGCUGGGCAGGGGAACCAAGGUUUCUGCUCCUUUAGACGGGGUCCCAAUAUCUUAGACUCCCACUCUCCUGCCGACGGUGUUUCAGCACAUGACACUGCCACUCGGGUCCCCUUCCCAAGGCGUGGCGCUGGGCUGUGAAGACUCCUCGUGGCGCCCGCGGGGAACGUAACCCCAGGUACUCAAUCCUGGGCAGCAGCACCAGGGUGGACUUUUCCGCGGUGGACUCUUGACUGGCUCUGGAUCUCUCCCCUUUGCUGCCCACACUCCGGAGACCUGCCUGAUGACCUGGCUUAAGUGGGGACUUGUGUCGUGGGAUUCCCAAGUACUGUGUGUGCCUUCCACUAAUAAAAUAGGUUUCGUCCUAACAGGA